AGCGUGGAAAGAGCGGCGGGGCGCGGGAGGAGGAAGUAGAGCCCGGGACCGUCGGGCCACCACCGGCCGCCUCAGCCAUGGACGCGUCCCUGGAGAAGAUAGCAGACCCCAUGUUAGCUGAAAUGGGGAAAAACUUGAAGGAGGCCAUGAAGAUGCUGGAGGACAGUCAGAGAAGAACAGAAGAGGAAAAUGGAAAGAAGCUCAUAUCCGGAGAUAUUCCAGGCCCACUCCAGGGCAGUUGCUUAAGAAAAAAAAAAAAACUUGAAGCAACACUAGUUGGAUGAGGGAAGUAGCGGGAGAGUGGUGGGGGAUGUGUGCUGUUCCCAUCAGCCCAUCAACUCUUUUUAUUCUUCAGUGGACAAGAUAUGGUGAGCAUCCUCCAGUUAGUUCAGAAUCUGAUGCAUGGAGAUGAAGAUGAGGAGCCCCAGAGCCCCAGAAUCCAAAAUAUUGGAGAACAAGGUCAUAUGGCUUUGUUGGGACAUAGUCUGGGAGCUUAUAUUUCAACUCUGGACAAAGAGAAGCUGAGAAAACUUACAACUAGGAUACUUUCAGAUACCACCUUAUGGCUAUGCAGAAUUUUCAGAUAUGAAAAUGGCUGUGCUUAUUUCCACGAAGAGGAAAGAGAAGGACUUGCAAAGAUAUGUAGGCUUGCCAUUCAUUCUCGAUAUGAAGACUUUGUAGUGGAUGGCUUCAAUGUGUUAUAUAACAAGAAGCCUGUCAUAUAUCUUAGUGCUGCUGCUAGACCUGGCCUGGGCCAAUACCUUUGUAAUCAGCUCGGCUUGCCCUUCCCCUGCUUGUGCCGUGUACCUUGUAACACUAUGUUUGGAUCCCAGCAUCAGAUGGAUGUUGCCUUCCUGGAGAAACUGAUUAAAGAUGAUAUAGAGCGAGGAAGACUGCCCCUGUUGCUUGUCGCAAAUGCAGGAACGGCAGCAGUAGGACACACAGACAAGAUUGGGAGAUUGAAAGAACUCUGUGAGCAGUAUGGCAUAUGGCUUCAUGUGGAGGGUGUGAAUCUGGCAACAUUGGCUCUGGGUUAUGUCUCCUCAUCAGUGCUGGCUGCAGCCAAAUGUGAUAGCAUGACGAUGACUCCUGGCCCGUGGCUGGGUUUGCCAGCUGUUCCUGCGGUGACACUGUAUAAACACGAUGACCCUGCCUUGACUUUAGUUGCUGGUCUUACAUCAAAUAAGCCCACAGACAAACUCCGUGCCCUGCCUCUGUGGUUGUCUUUACAAUACUUGGGACUUGAUGGGAUUGUGGAGAGGAUCAAGCAUGCCUGUCAACUGAGUCAACGGUUGCAGGAAAGUUUGAAGAAAGUGAAUUACAUCAAAAUCUUGGUGGAAGAUGAGCUCAGCUCCCCAGUGGUGGUGUUCAGAUUUUUCCAGGAAUUACCAGGCUCAGAUCCGGUGUUUAAAGCCGUCCCAGUGCCCAACAUGACACCUUCAGCAGUCGGCCGGGAGAGGCACUCGUGUGACGCGCUGAAUCGCUGGCUGGGAGAACAGCUGAAGCAGCUGGUGCCUGCGAGCGGCCUCACAGUCAUGGAUCUGGAAACUGAGGGCACAUGUUUGCGGUUCAGCCCUUUGAUGACCGCAGCAG
RNAcentral lists this small RNA (1593 nucleotides) under Pongo abelii (Sumatran orangutan). RNAcentral's name for it is "processed transcript". The record is from RNAcentral. Lineage: Eukaryota; Metazoa; Chordata; Mammalia; Primates; Hominidae.